This 71-nucleotide transfer RNA is filed under the name Myotis davidii. It matches the Rfam family "tRNA". From Rfam's summary of the family: Transfer RNA (tRNA) molecules are approximately 80 nucleotides in length. Their secondary structure includes four short double-helical elements and three loops (D, anti-codon, and T loops). The record is from Rfam by way of RNAcentral. Lineage: Eukaryota; Metazoa; Chordata; Mammalia; Chiroptera; Vespertilionidae.
GCCUGUAUGGCUCAGUGGUUGAGCAUCGACCUAUGAACCAGGAGAUCAGGGUUCAAUUCCCGGUCAGGGCA